UGAAUACGAGAUGCUACGGCGUCGAAGCAGUGUAUGUCAGACUUCCAAGAAAAGCUCGCAAUGUCAUAAAUAAAGAAUGCCUGUACCAUAACCGACACAGGUGGGUAGGUAGAGUAUACUAAGGGGCGCGAGAUAACUCUCUCUAAGGAACUCGGCAAAAUAACUCCGUAACUUCGGGAGAAGGAGUGCCUUCUUUAAGAAGGUUGCAAUAACAAGAUCCAAGCAACUGUUUAUCAAAAACACAGGUCUCCGCUAAGUCGUAAGACGAUGUAUGGGGGCUGACGCCUGCCCAGUGCCAGAAGGUUAAAGAAGUUGGUUAGCUUUUGCGAAGCUGAUGACUGAAGCCCUGGUGAACGUCGGCCGUAACAAUAACGGUCCUAAGGUAGCGAAAUUCCUUGUCGGGUAAGUUCCGACCCGCACGAAAGGCGUAAUGAUUUGGAUACUGUCUCGGAGAGGGACUCGGUGAAAUAGACUUGUCUGUGAAGAUGCGGACUACCUGCACCAGGACAGAAAGACCCUAUGAAGCUUUACUGUAACUUGAAAUUGAAAUUGGACUUUAUUUGCGCAGUAUAGGUGGAAGGCGUUGAAAGUAAUCUUGCGGGAUUAGUGGAGCCAUCAGUGAGAUACCACUCCUAUAAUGUUAGAUUUCUAACUUUGGAUCAUGAUCUGGUCAAAGAACAGUUUCAGGCGGGCAGUUUGACUGGGGCGGUCGCCUCCCAAAUGGUAACGGAGGCGUACAAAGGUUUCCUCUGAACGGGUAGAAAUCGUAUCUAGAGUGUAAAGGCAUAAGGAAGCUUGACUGUGAGACCUACAAGUCGAGCAGGGACGAAAGUCGGUCUUAGUGAUCUGACGGUGCUGAGUGGAAAGGCCGUCACUCAACGGAUAAAAGUUACUCUAAGGAUAACAGGCUGAUCUCCCCCAAGAGUUCACAUCGACGGGGAGGUUUGGCACCUCGAUGUCGGCUCAUCGCAUCCUGGGGCGGUAGUACGUCCCAAGGGUUGGGCUGUUCGCCCAUGAAAGCGGUACGCGAGCUGGGUUCAGAACGUCGUGAGACAGUUCGGUCCAUAUCCGGUGUAGGCGUUAGAAUAUUGAGAGGAGCCUUCUUUAGUACGAGAGGACCGAGAAGGACAUACCUCUGGUGUACCAGUUAUCGUGCCAACGGUAAACGCUGGGUAGCUAUGUAUGGAGAGGGUAACCGCUGAAAGCAUCUAAGUGGGAAGCCCACCUCAAGAUGAGUAUUCCC
RNAcentral lists this ribosomal RNA (1243 nucleotides) under metagenome. RNAcentral describes it as "bacterial LSU rRNA". It matches the Rfam family "Bacterial large subunit ribosomal RNA", at positions 1564 to 2815 of the family's 2925-position model. The record is from RNAcentral.